Long non-coding RNA from Trifolium pratense (red clover), 4685 nucleotides. RefSeq lists it as uncharacterized. The transcript is spliced from 2 exons. The record is from RefSeq and is a predicted model, not a curated record. Lineage: Eukaryota; Viridiplantae; Streptophyta; Magnoliopsida; Fabales; Fabaceae.
UAAAAAUAAAAUCAUUUGGGCUUUACUCCAAUUGGAGUCACUUGAGAGUAAUGGAAUAAUGAAACAAAUUGGUGUAUGAGUAGUAACCUUAAGUGCCAUAUUUAUAAGAAUGAAUAGUAGUGUGUUCUCCAAAAUUGUUAGAACAGUAGCCGCCCUACUUCACCUACUUCACCCUUUCUCUGCAUAUUUUUCUUUUCUACCUAAUAUAUAGUACCAAUCCCAAACAUUGUAAGGUUAAUGAGAGAAAGCCUUGAAGGGAGAAAAGAAAGAAAGAAGAAAAGAACCAAGAGAAGGAAGUAGAUGGGAAGAGGAUGAGAACUCAAGCAAGCUAGGAUUUCCUUUAAUUAAGGUUUCUCAGGUUAUGAGUUUGUGGUCGAGUCGUCGGUGAAGCUCCGCUCUGAUUAUGACAUGGGGAAUGGUUUAUUGAGUCUUGUACUUGUAUUCUUAUUUUAUUGUAAAUGUAUUAUUUUAGAAAACAAUUUUUAUUAAGCGAGGUUUAUGCUAAUUAGCAAUGUUUUGAAGUAUGUAAUAUCUAAAACCACUAUUUUAUAUUUUAUCUACGACUUCGAGUCGUUUUAAUUUUAUUAUCCGCUGCGUAUUUUGAAAAGAAUUUUCUAUAGUUAGAUUUAUUUAAAUAUUGGUAUUGGGUGUUACAAAGUUGGUAUCAGAGCCCCAUUGUCUUCAGACUGUGUGGGUUAUGUGUGUCACUCAGAGCAGGUCUGUGCAGUCAGACUUAGUGGGCAUAGUGUCAGUCGUGUUUGUGUAAUUGUUGUAUUUACUUUGUGAUUUAAUUUUCGCAGUUACACUUGCACAUUAGUCACUAUUUAAUUGUUUUGUGAAUGUGUGACUAGUUUGGUGAAUUUUGUUGGUAGUUCCUUGUUAGCAUGUUGCUUUAUUUGAUUCUUGAAACUUAUCUUUUUAAGUGAAAUGAACUUUAACAUUUAUAAUCCUUACUUCAUGAUUGAAUAUAAAAUGAUGAUAGCUUAAGUAUUUACUUGUCAAUACUUGAAUGUCUAUGUGAAGUGUUAUAUUUUGUUUUUAUGCAAUUUUAUAUAGAUGUUCAUGUUUUGCAUUUCGUAGUUUACCCCUUUCAUAUGACAUGUGUGUAAAUACUAUUGAUACCAAUUUCUUUUAUUUGAGCUAGUUAGAGGAUUGUAGAAGCCUACAAUUAGGUGUGAGAGUUUGGGUUUCAGUAGAAAGUUGUAGGUGAGUUUGAGACAAGUGGGGGAGAAGGUUAUAUUCCUCUGAGAUGUUUAAGUGUAACAAAGCAAGAUAGAUAGAGAUACCCAAGGGAGAGUAUUCUUGUGUUAGUGAUGUUUGCUUCAAAGUUGAGUGAACUGGAAGAUGUGUUAGAAGAAGAAGUUUGUCGGAUCGGUUAUUUCACUGUGGAGAACGCCAUUGUUGUUGAGUAUGACGAAGUUGACAAAUCAUAUUCUCGAAGAGAAUAGAGAAGGUUGGAAGUUGGAUUUAAAUUUAAUGGACUAAUUGGUGCGAAUCAGUCAAAGUAAAGAAGUGAAUUUUCGAGUAGCUGAGAAUGGAAUUAUGAGAUUAUAAGAUAGAAUGUGUUCUGAAUUUACCCGAGUUCGAGAGCUCCUAGGAAGAAAGUUACUAUCGAAAAUCGGGACGAAUGAGAUCAUUAGGUGCAAAUGUAUGUUUGAGAACUUCACGUGAGAUUUUAGAAGAUAAGAUGGGGUUAAGUAAAAAGUUUCAUUAACAGAGGAGUAGAAUGAAGGAGUUAGUCUUUGGGAAGACAUGUUAAGAAUGAGUUAAGUAAUUGUCUAUCGGAAAAGAUUGAGUAUGGAAGAAUCUGUGGAGAUUAGCAAGAUUAAAUUCAUCAUACUAGGUGUAACGAAGAGCGGCGUAGCAUAAGUGUAGUGCACGAUGAGAAAGUAAAGAAUCUUAGAUAUUGUAAUCGUGGAUAGUUUAACAAUAGUUAUUUGAUGAGUAACCUAAGAUAUAUUUUGGGUGUAAGUAUCUCGAUAGAAGAACUGACAUUGGUAAAUGUGACAAAAAAAAAUGAACGUGAGUUGGAAAUAAGGUAAUUAUAUUGGAAUUUGACGUAAGAAAUUGAGAUUGUGGUUCGGAUAAAAUUGGAUGCGAACACUUACGGAUUAAAAAAAAAAAAGUUUAUGGAACUUGUGAUAUGGUGAAGUUCUUUACGGAGUAUAAUAGAUUGGUAAUACUUGUUGUGGAUUGUUUCCUUAAGAAUGUUUCGUGCUUAGAGAAGCACUAUUGUGGUUUGGUAAAGAUGGUUGAUGCCACCAUCAUGAUUGUUGUCUAUCUAUCGACAAAUCGAGGAACUGGCCGUCCUUGAUCUCUUGUUGAUAGUGGACGAAAUCGUGUUGACUGGAUGAGACAAAUUUUGUCAAACUUUAAUAGUGUCUAGAGUUUUGGAUAUUUUGUUGGAGAGUUGGAUGAAGGGGGUCUUAUCCGGAGUUGUUUUAGUUUGGUAAUUUUUGAGGGCGAAAAAUCUGUAAGUGGGGGAGAGUUGUAACAUCCCAAUUUUUAUUAUUAGAAUAUUUAUUUAUUGUGGCGCGUAACUUUCGUAAUUGAAUAUUUUGGUAUUCAUGAGUUUAUACUUAAGCUAGUAAUUAGAGUAAUUAAUAGAUGAUAAUUUUUUUUAAUGGGCCAAAUUAGUUAAUAGAGGAAUAAAAAUAAAAUCAUUUGGGCUUUACUCCAAUUGGAGUCACUUGAGAGUAAUGGAAUAAUGAAACAAAUUGGUGUAUGAGUAGUAACCUUAAGUGCCAUAUUUAUAAGAAUGAAUAGUAGUGUGUUCUCCAAAAUUGUCAGAACAGUAGCCGCCCUACUUCACCUACUUCACCCUUUCUCUGCAUAUUUUCCUUUUCUACCUAAUAUAUAGUACCAAUCCCAAACAUUGUAAGGUUAAUGAGAGAAAGCCUUGAAGGGAGAAAAGAAAGAAAGAAGAAAAGAACCAAGAGAAGGAAGUAGAUGGGAAGAGGAUGAGAACUCAAGCAAGCUAGGAUUUCCUUUAAUUAAGGUAUGAGGGUAGUUUUAUAAUCUUUGAGAUGAAUUAAUGGAGAGGAGAGAAGUAUUCUUCUCUAGCCCAAACUCUUCUCAUCUCUUUUUCAUUUUUGGGUAUGUUAUGAGAUUUUGGGAAUGUGUAGAUUUUGAAUCUUUAUGUUAUAAUAAGUGAUUAUGCAUAUUUGUUCAUGAUUUAGAAAUGAGAAGCUGUGAUAAAAAUUAGUACUUUGUAAGUUGUUGUUGAUUAUUUGAAGGUUGUUGAUAAAUUCAUGAAAAUGAUGAAUAAUUCAUGAAAAAUGAUUAUGUUUGAGUAAUUUAUGUUGAUUUAAGUUGUUUUAAAUAAGCUAUAAGUGUAGUAAUAUUUAAAUAUGAAUUCUAGACUGUUUUAAGUGAUUAUUAGCAGCUUAUAAGUGCUUAUUUGGACCAAAAUCGAGUCAAAACGUGUUCUGCAGAAUGAAUAGUGCAUUUGCGACGCACUUGGCCGACGCUAAUCUGCAACUCUGUUCUGUUGACCAAUUGUUGACUUUUGUUGACUUAUUUAGCCGGAACCCAUCUUGUCCAGUUUUUCGUGUAGAUUCCGAUUCCGGUGUCCAUUUUCUGAGAUUAUGUUUGCAUGAUGAUGUUGCUUAUAUUUUUGGCAUUAUUUUAGUUUAAAUUAACUUUCGUAUGCUUAAUUAAUUGAAAUUGAUGAACCCUUGAAUGAUGUGUGACUUUAGUGUCUUGUGAAUGAAUAUGUUGUUGAUUAAUGAUGAUGGCUAGGUUGUUGAUAGAUGAUGAUAAUCAUGAUGUUGAUUAUUGAUGAUGUAUUAUGAUUAUAUUGAUGAAUUAUUGAUGAAUAAAUCUUAUUGAAGAUUAGUGUGAUUAUGUGAUGAUUUAUGAUGUUGAAUUAUUGAUGAUGAUAAAUGAUGAUUUAUCAUGAGUAAAUGUAUUCUAAAGACGAUGAUUUAGAAUAUUUGGAUUAUGCUAUCCAUAUUAUGUCGAUGUUAUAGUUGAGAUAAAACCAUAUGUUUGGUAUAUGCACAUUCAUGCAUUCAUAAGUUGUGUCUAUUGAUGGGUAUUCUAGAGACGAUGAUCUAGUUUACUGUUGUUUUAGAGACGAUGAUCUAAAACAUUUGGAAUGAGUUUUCCAAAAUUAUGAUGAUGGGUACCACAUGCAUAUAGAUACGUCUAGAGGACAUUACAUCUAAUUGCAUUAAGAAUUAUGUGAUAUUCUUACUUGAUGAAUGGUAAUUGACAUCGUUAUGUUUACCUUUAUAUCUGAUACUUGUCUGAACAUAUUUGUUAUAUGUCUGAGAUGUCUGAUACAUAUUGGUAUGUGCUUAUCAUGUUGAAUAAUUGUAUGAGAUGAAUUUAUUCAUUUGUUUGACUUUAUUUAGGUUUCUGAUAUACCUUAUGUUAGUCACUAUUUAUGGUUAUAUUAUCUAACCCUCUGUUUUGUGUACUUGCUGAACCGUUGGGGGUUCAGAUUUCUCAGGUUAUGAGUUUGUGGUCGAGUCGUCGGUGAAGCUCCGCUCUGAUUAUGACAUGGGGAAUGGUUUAUUGAGUCUUGUACUUGUAUUCUUAUUUUAUUGUAAAUGUAUUAUUUUAGAAAACAAUUUUUAUUAAGCGAGGUUUAUGCUAAUUAGCAAUGUUUUGAAGUAUGUAAUAUCUAAAACCACUAUUUUAUAUUUUAUCUACGACUUCGAGUCGUUUUAAUUUUAUUA